RNAcentral lists this ribosomal RNA (623 nucleotides) under Streptomyces sp. So3Ps_1904. Its description in RNAcentral is "bacterial SSU rRNA". It matches the Rfam family "Bacterial small subunit ribosomal RNA", at positions 388 to 1020 of the family's 1533-position model. The record is from RNAcentral. Lineage: Bacteria; Bacillati; Actinomycetota; Actinomycetes; Kitasatosporales; Streptomycetaceae.
GCAGCGACGCCGCGUGAGGGAUGACGGCCUUCGGGUUGUAAACCUCUUUCAGCAGGGAAGAAGCGAAAGUGACGGUACCUGCAGAAGAAGCGCCGGCUAACUACGUGCCAGCAGCCGCGGUAAUACGUAGGGCGCAAGCGUUGUCCGGAAUUAUUGGGCGUAAAGAGCUCGUAGGCGGCUUGUCACGUCGGGUGUGAAAGCCCGGGGCUUAACCCCGGGUCUGCAUCCGAUACGGGCAGGCUAGAGUGUGGUAGGGGAGAUCGGAAUUCCUGGUGUAGCGGUGAAAUGCGCAGAUAUCAGGAGGAACACCGGUGGCGAAGGCGGAUCUCUGGGCCAUUACUGACGCUGAGGAGCGAAAGCGUGGGGAGCGAACAGGAUUAGAUACCCUGGUAGUCCACGCCGUAAACGUUGGGAACUAGGUGUUGGCGACAUUCCACGUCGUCGGUGCCGCAGCUAACGCAUUAAGUUCCCCGCCUGGGGAGUACGGCCGCAAGGCUAAAACUCACAGGAAUUGACGGGGGCCCGCACAAGCAGCGGAGCAUGUGGCUUAAUUCGACGCAACGCGAAGAACCUUACCAAGGCUUGACAUAUACCGGACAGCAUUAGAGAUAGUGCCCCCCUUG